RNAcentral lists this ribosomal RNA (155 nucleotides) under uncultured bacterium. Its description in RNAcentral is "partial 16S ribosomal RNA". It matches the Rfam family "Bacterial small subunit ribosomal RNA", at positions 355 to 507 of the family's 1533-position model. The record is from RNAcentral.
UGAGGAAUAUUGGGCAAUGGACGCAAGUCUGACCCAGCCAUGCCACGUGCAGGAUGACGGCGCUAUGCGUUGUAAACUGCUUUUAUACAGGAAGAAACCCCCGAACGUGUUCGGGGUUGACGGUACUGUAAGAAUAAGCAUCGGCUAACUCCGUG